Long non-coding RNA from Numida meleagris (helmeted guineafowl), 1848 nucleotides. RefSeq lists it as uncharacterized. The transcript has 2 exons. The record is from RefSeq and is a predicted model, not a curated record. NCBI's taxonomy places the organism in Eukaryota, Metazoa, Chordata, Aves, Galliformes, Numididae.
CCGGCCUCGGCCGCGCUGAGGAAGGGCGGGCGGCCUCUCCCGGCCCGGUGCCGCCGCCGCGGUGUGCGUCUGUAACGCUCAGGUCAUUGGUGGAACGCUGAGGAGUACCGGGCCCAGAGCAGCGCACGCAGCUCCGAACUGAGGGGGCUGAGGGAAAUAAACAUUUUCAGAAAAUGCAACUCCCCCGUCGGAAGGGAGUAAGCCCCCGCUUAAUCAGCCCACGGUUCCCACGUUACGGCAGCAGUCCUCGGGACGGCAGAACUGCAGCGCUCCUAUGUGCGCACUUUGCCUUUGGGAACGCAUCCCCUGGUUCCACGCGGACCCAAACGCAGGAGGGACCUGGAGCAGAGCAGAGCCGAGCCGCGCUCCAUACAACUGCUUUGACUUUUGACUGGCGUCACCCCUGCAGAACCCAUCCGUGUCAGCAGCAGCUCUGCGUUCUGCCACUUUCUGGGCGCCCCAGCAACCUGCCCUGUCCAUCGCAGAGAACAGGCAAACCCGCUGACGCAGAGGGCCAUGGAGGAGAUAGGGACCUCCUCCAAAUCAUACACCAAGGAUGAAAACAAAGCCCCGACUCCCAGACAAGCAUUCCCAACUGCUGCAGCCUGGCUGUACUUCACUGUUACUGGAAAGAGGGGACACAGAGAAGGCAGUGAGCACAAAGGGAAAAUAAGAACAGCGGUAAGAUGAAAACAUGGAACCCUACCUGUGUUCCUUGUAUUAGGUGCAGCUGUACCAAUCUUCAUGAUUAAUAAAGCAAGGUUAAUGUAUCUGGAGAUGAGGUUGGCAGGGAGAGGUGCAGAAACCAUUUAAUGAGAACUAAACAAAGAAACAAACCCAACCCCAAACAGCCCACCAAACCCUUCCUUCCCACAUUCCACCAGUACAUCCACGACGACCACCACUGCCCCGUGCCGAGGAGGCACCUUCCAUCAGAACAGCCGAGAACUGGUUCCUGGGGAUGGACGCAGGGUAGGGGAGAGGUCUUUGGCCAAGAAGUUUGCACAGCUGCUCUUCACGUGCACCCUGCGGCAAAACAGAGAGGUCCACACCACAGCUACCAGUCUACUUCCACGCAUAACAAAAGAACAAGUGGUUUGGGGUUCCACAGCAGGAUUGUCCCCAUUUUAUAGACUUUAUCCUAUACCUACAGGAUAGCGCACCUAUGUAUGCUGCUCCACAUCUGAUGCUCAAUCCCCUUUUUCAGGAUACCACCUAUUCUAUCGGAGAUGCUCAUUUCAGGAGUUUGCCUGGCCUCUGGUUACUGCAUCAGCCGCUCUCAGCUGGAGCUCAGGAGCCAAACGUAAUUAAAAGCACCAGCAGAAAAUAGGCCUUCCUACUUGGCUAUUGUCACAUCGUGCCUUACAUAAGGAGCAGAUUCUCCACUGGCCAUUCUAUGAUGAUAUGAUUCUCUGAAAUCCCCAUGCAGAGAUCUUGCCUCAGUUAACUUGCCUAAUCCUCCGAGGAAGGUUCCUCUGCUCUCUGGAACAUCACAGAGGUGUCUUCAACAGUUUGCAGAGAUUCCUUCAGAGGCUUAAAACCAUCAGCCAAGAACUGCUCUGACGUUCUGAAGAACCCGCAGCUCCCAUCUGGCUUUAAUUUCAGCCGUACAGUUCAAUUCCUAGAAAGUGCUGCACAUUUAAAAAUGCUUACCCUAUUUCUCAAGGAAAAUUCCCACAGAUGUUUCUUCCUCAAAUCUAUUAUGGAAACAACUCUACAGAUCUUGCUGUACUGGGAAUGUCAGUGAUGGCCAUUCUGCAAUACUGCCUCGGGAUGCUGAUGGGUUACCCAAGCAUACCUCUUUUAUUGAAAGGUACAUUAUUCUCCAAUAAAAUAGACUAAACCCAA